GAUGAACGCUGGCGGCGUGCUUAACACAUGCAAGUCGAACGAGGUCCAACCUUCGGGUGAAGACUUAGUGGCGAACGGGUGAGUAACACGUGGGCAACCUGCCCCUCACACUGGGAUAACUCAGGGAAACUUGAGCUAAUACCGGAUACUCCGAGUUGAUCGCAUGGUCGACUCGGGAAAGCUCCGGCGGUGAGGGAUGGGCCCGCGGUCCAUUAGCUUGUUGGUGGGGUAAUGGCCCACCAAGGCUGCGAUGGAUAGCCGGGCUGAGAGGCCGAUCGGCCACACUGGGACUGAGACACCGCCCAGACUCCUACGGGUGGCUG
This 323-nucleotide ribosomal RNA is filed under the name uncultured bacterium. Its description in RNAcentral is "bacterial SSU rRNA". It matches the Rfam family "Bacterial small subunit ribosomal RNA", at positions 28 to 351 of the family's 1533-position model. The record is from RNAcentral.